Transfer RNA from Fomitopsis pinicola, 104 nucleotides. It matches the Rfam family "tRNA". From Rfam's summary of the family: Transfer RNA (tRNA) molecules are approximately 80 nucleotides in length. Lineage: Eukaryota; Fungi; Basidiomycota; Agaricomycetes; Polyporales; Fomitopsidaceae. The record is from Rfam.
GCCCGCCUAGCUCAAUCGGAUAGAGCGUCAGACUCUUACGAAGGCGUGGCAAUAUGCGUACUUGCGCAAUCUGAAGGCUGCGAGUUCGACCCUCGCGGUGGGCU